GCCUCCCUUAGACAACAAGGACACAGUCCGUCCUCACUGCUGGACGUAGGUGGUAAAGUCCCAGGAGCAACAGCUCCAGGAAAUCACAGAGGGUGGGGAGGGGCAUUUCCCAAAAAGGUCAUGUAGUGCAAACCAAAAGUAUACAUCUGCCACAAAUAAAUACUGCAAUCUACUUCCUCAUCAACUGACUCAAGGAGGGCUGCAUAGGCCAGGCUGAACCUCCAUGAAGGCAUCCUUCCUCUACCCGGGUUUCCAUACAUUCCUGCAGAAGAGCAGCCCAGUGCCCAAAGUCCUGCGGUUUUCUACAAGCCUGUUUGAGAGACAAACAUAAUCAUCACUGACUGUAGAAGACAGUAAUGAAAUACAG
Cebus imitator (Panamanian white-faced capuchin) is the source of this 367-nucleotide long non-coding RNA. RefSeq lists it as uncharacterized. The record is from RefSeq and is a predicted model, not a curated record. Lineage: Eukaryota; Metazoa; Chordata; Mammalia; Primates; Cebidae. The transcript is spliced from 3 exons.